Molecule: ribosomal RNA, 253 nt
Filed under: uncultured bacterium
Lineage: Bacteria
Description: partial 16S ribosomal RNA
Rfam family: Bacterial small subunit ribosomal RNA
Source: RNAcentral
UACGGGGGGGGCAAGCGUUGUUCGGAAUUACUGGGCGUAAAGGGCUCGUAGGCGGCCAACUAAGUCGGAUGUGAAAUCCCCAGGCUUAACCUGGGAACUGCGUCGGAUACUGGAUGGCUUGAAUUCGGGAGAGGGAUGCAGAAUUCCAGGUGUAGCGGUGAAAUGCGUAGAUAUCUGGAGGAAUACCGGUGGCGAAGGCGGCAUCCUGGACCGACAUUGACGCUGAUGAGCGAAAGCUAGGGGAGCAAACGGG